RNAcentral lists this long non-coding RNA (4698 nucleotides) under Sus scrofa (pig). RNAcentral's name for it is "lncRNA (ENSSSCG00015061587.1)". Lineage: Eukaryota; Metazoa; Chordata; Mammalia; Artiodactyla; Suidae. The record is from RNAcentral.
UUUUUUUUUUUUUUGUAAGUAAAAGAAGCAGAACCCACAGUCUGCCUUUAAGAGGUCAACAAUGCAAUGGUCUCCAUUUCUUAUUUCCCAAGUGAGCAGAACACGAAAAUCUGCCUUUGAGGACCAAAACGCAAAUCAGCCACAUCCUUUGGAGCCAUUCACAAAUAUUUAUGAAUGGACUGUUGUGUGAUAGCUGCUCUAGGGAAGAUGAUAAGCCAUGGAUCCCUUCACCCUCAGGAAACUCGCAGCUCAAAAGGGAGAGCUGUUUAUGUGACAUAUCCUUCGGGGUCUGCCCUAGUCAUCGAUUGCUGCUUAACAAUUCACUCCCAUUUUAGCAGCUUGAAACAGCAAUCACUUUAGCAUCUUUCACAGUAUCUAUGAGACAGAAAUUCAGGAAGGGCUUAGCUGUGCAAUUCUGGCACAGGGCUCUCUUGCAGUCAUACCCAGAUAGGGGCUGCUGAAGCAGCUUUGGGCUGGCCAGGCAUCUUGCCUCACAUUCUCUUGGUGGGUGGGCCGGCUUGGGCUUCCUCACAGCAUGGCAGCCUGAGGCUAAACUGUUUACAUGACGACUCAGGGCUCCAAAGGUAAGUGUCCCAGGAGACUGGGGCAGAAGCUGUAUCAUCUUUUAUGAUCAGUUCAGAAGUUACAGUGUCACUUCCUCUCAAAGGAGAUUUCUCAAAGUCACAUUAUAAGAUAAGAAGAGCAGGUGAGACAGGAAAUGUCAUUUUAACCAUCUUUGGAAAAUAUAAUCAGCAAGAUGGAGUUCCCGUCGUGGCUCAGUGGUUAACGAAUCCGACUAGGAACCACGAGGUUGCAGCAUCAAUCCCUGGCCUUGCUCAGUGGGUUAAGGAUCCGGUGUUGCCGUGAGCUGUGGUGUAGGUUGCAAACGUGGCUCCGAUCCCGUGUUGCUGUGGCUGUGGCAUAGGCCAGUGGCUAUAGCUCCAAUUGGACCCCUAGCUUAGGAACCUCCAUAUGCUGUGGGAGCGGCCCAAGAAAUGGCAAAAAAGACAAAAAAAAAAAAAAAAAAGAAGAAGCUUAACCAAGGUACUAGUUAUGAAGAUAUAGGCAGGGCAUAGGGAAACAGAGACUAAUGUGUGACAAAGAAACUACUACACCCCUAUAAGGAAGGAACAAGAAGAAUAAGAGGUUACAGGACCUCAGGAGAGAAGAGUUCAGGAAGUGUUCCCUUGAGAGCACAAAUCCCACCCUCCCAGCCAGGGCUUUCCAUUGGCUGAACCCAACAGGACGUCCAAAGGCCCAGAGCCUACACUGAGCUGCCUCUGGGGAAGAGAGCAGAGUGAGGAAGAGCAGAGAGUACAUCUGGAGAGGCAAGCAGAAGAUACCCAGGUAAGGAAGAUUCAUAAACGCAAGAGAGAUUAUCAUGUGAUGUCAAUAUGUUACAGCAGUAUAUCUCUUUCUGCAAGAGAGAACUCCGAGCUGCUUCCAUGUAAUGCCACAGAAGUAUCGAUACGGUGAAGGGAAGUUCACCAGCCAUCCUCUGGAGGUCCAGGAUGCCACCCUUUAUCCUGGGGCUUCAGAGAGUCCCAGGCAGUGGGAAAGAGAGUGGUCCACAGGUGCAAGCCAGACAGGGACUAUACACAGCCCCUGGGCACGGACAGGAAUGGCUCCUGAUGGAUGGUCCACAGGAAGUGGUGGUCCAACCGGAAGGACAGCUGAUGAGGCUCCUCAGCACCACGAUGCCCUACUAUGCAACCGGCUGGGAUGGAGACAGUGGUCUGCACCUGUGCCCACCAGAGCAGGGCCUGCCUGACCCCUGGAGACUGGGUCCUCUUCUGUUUGAGUGCUCUCUCCAAGCCUGGUCUCAUCCCAAACCCCAUAAACCUCUCUCCCUCAUCAACUUCCCUCUAACUUUCCCUCCCCUCAAUCUGGGGAAUCUUCAUCUAAUCUGGGGGUAAGGAAGCCUGGCGCUUAACCUAAUCUUCCAACUCUAGUACAUAUCCUAUAAAAGGCAAACUCAAAAGUCCAGGUUUGUGGAGUCCCACUGUGGCACAGUGGGUUAAGAAUGCAACUGCAGCGGCUCAGGUCGCUGCAGAGACACAGGUUCAAUCCCUGGCCUGGCGCAGUGGAUUAGGAUGCAGCAUUUCCAUAGCUGUGGCGAAGGUAGUAGCUGUGGCUCAGAUUCCAUCCCUGGCCUGGGAACUUCUAUAUGCUGUGGGUGCGGCCAUAAAAAACAAAACAAAAUAAAUAAGUUUGGGUUCUUACAACUCCACAUCCUCAACUUUUGAAAUUCAAAUACAAAAUCUGACCUACUUUCUCUCGGCAUUCCUUGAGCCACACAGUGUGGGAGUUCCGGGGGCGGGGUGGGUCACAAGGUAUGUGACGGAGUAUCACAGAGCAGAAGUAUUAGUACCAUUGAAACUAAGAGGUCUAGGAACCCAACAGAUCAUGCAUCAGGGGGAUCAGGAAAUAUUUCAUUUGAUCCUCGGAAGAAUAGAUAUCAUUUCAGCAGGAAGAGUUGGAAGAGCAUUCUAAGUAGACAGAGGAGAAUGAGCAUGAGAAUUAAAACAGUUGAGAAAGGACGGUUGAAUACGUAAGAAACAUAGGGAUAUGUGCAUGUAGAGGAAAUAAUUCUAGAAGAGCAAGGUGAGGCCAGGUCCUAAAGGACCUGGAAAGAAAUCUUUGCGUCUGCGUUAAAAAAAGCCACCGCAGCUUGUGUACAUCAGUGGGGUAACUGGGUCCAAGAUGUGCUUUAAAAAGAUUAAGACAGUGACAGUGCCUGGGGUGCAGAUCCAGCAGUUAGGGCAUUAGACAUUCCUUUAGGCAUAGACUCACUGGCGCCUCACGCCCCUGGCUUCCAUCACCAUCUGGUUUGCAAGGUGGCAUGUUUCGAGGUAGGUUUUCCUGAUCUCAGACCUGCGUUCAGAACUCCCCUUAGGGCUUGUCCACCUGCAUGUCCCGCAAGCUCCUUAAACGCACCAGAGCUGAACCUGUCAUUCCCUCUGUGCCUCCUUCCCCCCCAUCACCACAUCCCUUCCCUUCUCUCUGCCCCACACCCUCCCCUAGAAACACUGUAGCCCCCAGACCAGAAUUCUCAUUUCCCCUCCCUCACUUCCAACUCCUAACCUCCACUCUCAAUACUUAGCAUAGCCAGAGCCUUCCAAUCCUCCCGUCUGUGUUUUCCCCUGUUGAACCCGGCUCCUUCUUAUCCUUAUUGGAACUGCCCAAGAUCAAGCCAUCAGCACCUCUCCUUCUGACAAUCACAACAGGUUGAUGAUUGGCCUCUCUGCGGCUCAACUCCGUCUGUUACUCCUCUCCCGCACGGUCUGUCCUAAACACUAAAUCUGAUCAUGGUGUUUCCCCUUUAAAGACGUCCUCUGGCCACCCCUAGGCCUGUGGGAUGGAGAAAACACUCAUUUAGCAUGUAAAGCCUUCAUACCCUGACCCUGGUUACUCUUCUAGCUCUGUUCCCGGCCAUUCCCCGGUGACAGGUAGGAAUUGACGCUUGGCUCUCUGCGUUUGUCUGUGACACCCUUCCUGGAAGCAGCAAGUGAUGGGAUUAGAUCCCAGCUGUUUGGACCAGAGAGGAAGGGCCUGGGGCAGAAGGAAAUCGCAGCUGUGUAUGCGUCUGCUGGAGAGGGAGGGGGAGGGGAAUGAGAAUAUAGUAAUCAAUGCUUCAAAAAUACUAUCUGCCACGUAGUCCAGGAAAGAGGCAUAGACUACCUAAGAAAUGUUUGCAUUACCUUAUGUUUAAAGACUGGGAGGGAAAAAGGGCUUUGAAAGAAAAGCAGAUUUGGAUAAGAUCCUAGUCUCCGAAGGGCUACUCUGGUGAGACCUCAGAUAGGUAUUUUUUACAGGUUCCCCUCAUGCAACAAAGCAGAUUAGUUUCUUCCUCUUGCAAGACGCAAAGCUUCAGAGAGAAUUGGAGGCCAGUUGAACCCUCAUAAGCACUCUUCAGAGAAAAAAAAAGGGGAGGGGUGGGGAAGAAGGAAUCGGAGGCCUGCAGAAAUGGUGAAUCAUAGCUAAUUAAAUUGCUUUGUCUUCCUUGAUGCUCUGGCUUUAUUAAAUAAACACAAGCAAUCUUAAUAAAAUAAGUUUUGGAUGACUUUAGGGUGUCCUGUUACCAGCACUGGAGCCAGGAGACCUGGGUUCCAAUUUCAGACACAUCCCUAACUAGCUGUGUGAUCUUGGGCAGCCCUGGCCCUUCUCUGAGCCCCGGCUUCCCUGUUUAUAUAACCAGAGAACUGAACUACUUGGCACGAGUCCCUAUAUACUCAAGCCUAUAUUGCUUCAGUUUUAAACCAGUAAAAUAGUUCCCCUCUUUCUAUUUAUCUGCCCCUGGAUUUGACUUUUUGAAUUACUCCCAUCCUCAGCUUCUCUUUAUCUAUUUUUUCUUCUCAUUCUAUCUGCCCAGCCAAGCAAGGCAUAGUCCUUGUCCGGCUGUUUUCCAGGCUCUUGACUUGGGUUUACAGAGUACGUUCUGCCCACUGAAUCUGUUCAGGAUUGGAACUUCCUUGGCGAAGACCCCAGAGCCAACAGAUCUUGGACCCGUGCCACUUAGGAUCCUUCCCAGGCCUGAAGGAGAUGAGGCAGAAGGACCUUGAUGCAUGAGAUACUGUGCUAAUGUAUCUCAAUAACCCAACUGUAGCAUCCUCCUGCAAUGUUUCCCAUUUGAAUGAUCCUAUUUACUAAAUUAAUUUUUCCCAAGGGAAAAUAAAUCCAAGAGUAAUGUAAGCUGCC